RNAcentral lists this long non-coding RNA (627 nucleotides) under Hordeum vulgare. RNAcentral's name for it is "long non-coding RNA (HVUL_LNC020578)". Lineage: Eukaryota; Viridiplantae; Streptophyta; Magnoliopsida; Poales; Poaceae. The record is from RNAcentral.
CGCCCCACCAUAUAGACGGUUCAUUAUUUUGUAUAUCAAUUACCUCAAUGUUGGUAAUUUUGUUCACCAUUUUUUACUCUGUGCAAUUCUUAUGCCCAGCUGCAUAGCUUUGACACCUGCAAGAGAAUCUUCACGGACCCGGCAAUGUACUCGGUAAUUAACAAGUUCUCUUGGUCAAUCGGGUCUCAAGAAAAAGUUGCGGUCAUCAAAAUGGAGACCAGAGAAGUGCUAGCAACAUGAACACCACAAUUAAAUGAUGUUGGGGUGGCUACGGCAAUCAAGGACGACAAUUGACAUUGUGACUAGUUUGCCUAAAAGUUGGGCAUAUUGUGUGAGUGUUAGCAUCACUAUUAUGACAACGAGGCUCAUACUGGAGGGCAUAAUGAUGUUUUGGCAAUAACCGCGUACAACACGGAUUGGUAGAUAGAAUAUAGUGAAACCGAUCACAUAGCUAGCAGGCUUGGCAAGUUAACAGUUUGGGUCAAGUAUACCGACUCUAUGACAAGGUGCACACAACAAAUGGAGCAUGUAUGGAAAUUAUUAACAUUAGUAGUACCAAAAUUAAUACUCAUAAACAUAUGGUUUGUCGUUCAUGAAGUUAACACUGAUCUAUGGAAUUGAUUCUCG